CACGUAGUUAGCCGGUGCUUCUUAACAAAGGUACCGUCACCACACCCAAAAAAUGUGGCUUCGUCCCUAACGAAAGGAGUUUACAACCCGAAGGCCGUCAUCCCCCACGCGGCGUCGCUGCAUCAGGCUUGCGCCCAUUGUGCAAUAUUCCCCACUGCUGCCUCCCGUAGGAGUCUGGGCCGUAUCUCAGUCCCAAUGUGGCCGUCCACCCUCUCAGGCCGGCUACCCGUCGACGCCUUGGUAGGCCAUUACCCCACCAACAAGCUGAUAGGCCGCGGGCUCAUCCUACACCAAAACAAUAAUCUUUCCACCAUGAGAUGCUAAACCAUGGUCCUAUCCGGUAUUAGACCCAGUUUCCCAAGCUUAUCCCGAAGUGCAGGGCAGAUCACCCACGUGUUACUCACCCGUUCGCCACUCGAGCACCCCCACACAAAAAUGAUGCGGGCCUUUCCGUUCGACUUGCAUGUGUUAAGCACGCCGCCAGCGUGUCCUGAGCACGAGUCAACUACU
Molecule: ribosomal RNA, 510 nt
Filed under: uncultured Corynebacterium sp.
Lineage: Bacteria; Bacillati; Actinomycetota; Actinomycetes; Mycobacteriales; Corynebacteriaceae
Description: partial 16S ribosomal RNA
Source: RNAcentral